GGGCCUUGCGGCGUGCUAUACAUGCAGUCGAGCGGACAGAAGGGAGCUUGCUCCCGGAUGUUAGCGGCGGACGGGUGAGUAACACGUGGGUAACCUGCCUGUAAGACUGGGAUAACUCCGGGAAACCGGAGCUAAUACCGGAUAGUUCCUUGAACCGCAUGGUUCAAGGAUGAAAGACGGUUUCGGCUGUCACUUACAGAUGGACCCGCGGCGCAUUAGCUAGUUGGUGAGGUAACGGCUCACCAAGGCGACGAUGCGUAGCCGACCUGAGAGGGUGAUCGGCCACACUGGGACUGAGACACGGCCCAGACUCCUACGGGAGGCAGCAGUAGGGAAUCUUCCGCAAUGGACGAAAGUCUGACGGAGCAACGCCGCGUGAGUGAUGAAGGUUUUCGGAUCGUAAAGCUCUGUUGUUAGGGAAGAACAAGUGCAAGAGUAACUGCUUGCACCUUGACGGUACCUAACCAGAAAGCCACGGCUAACUACGUGCCAGCAGCCGCGGUAAUACGUAGGUGGCAAGCGUUGUCCGGAAUUAUUGGGCGUAAAGGGCUCGCAGGCGGUUUCUUAAGUCUGAUGUGAAAGCCCCCGGCUCAACCGGGGAGGGUCAUUGGAAACUGGGAAACUUGAGUGCAGAAGAGGAGAGUGGAAUUCCACGUGUAGCGGUGAAAUGCGUAGAGAUGUGGAGGAACACCAGUGGCGAAGGCGACUCUCUGGUCUGUAACUGACGCUGAGGAGCGAAAGCGUGGGGAGCGAACAGGAUUAGAUACCCUGGUAGUCCACGCCGUAAACGAUGAGUGCUAAGUGUUAGGGGGUUUCCGCCCCUUAGUGCUGCAGCUAACGCAUUAAGCACUCCGCCUGGGGAGUACGGUCGCAAGACUGAAACUCAAAGGAAUUGACGGGGGCCCGCACAAGCGGUGGAGCAUGUGGUUUAUUUCGAAGCAACGCGAAGAACCUUACCAGGUCUUGACAUCCUCUGACAACCCUAGAGAUAGGGCUUUCCC
RNAcentral lists this ribosomal RNA (1001 nucleotides) under Bacillus altitudinis. RNAcentral describes it as "bacterial SSU rRNA". It matches the Rfam family "Bacterial small subunit ribosomal RNA", at positions 31 to 1018 of the family's 1533-position model. Lineage: Bacteria; Bacillati; Bacillota; Bacilli; Caryophanales; Bacillaceae. The record is from RNAcentral.